This 838-nucleotide ribosomal RNA is filed under the name Amanita fritillaria. RNAcentral's name for it is "eukaryotic LSU rRNA". It matches the Rfam family "Eukaryotic large subunit ribosomal RNA", at positions 90 to 915 of the family's 3401-position model. The record is from RNAcentral. Lineage: Eukaryota; Fungi; Basidiomycota; Agaricomycetes; Agaricales; Amanitaceae.
CGAGUGAAGAGGGAAAAGCUCAAAUUUAAAAUCUGGCAGCAUUUUGCUGUCCGAGUUGUAACCUAGAGAAGUGUAACCUGUGCUGGACCGUGUAUAAGUUUCCUGGAAUGGAGCAUCACAGAGGGUGAGAAUCCCGUCUUUGACAUGGACUACCAGUGCAUUGUGGUUGUGCUCUCAACGAGUCGAGUUGUUUGGGAAUGCAGCUCUAAAUGGGUGGUAAAUUCCAUCUAAAGCUAAAUAUUGGCGAGAGACCGAUAGCGAACAAGUACCGUGAGGGAAAGAUGAAAAGAACUUUGGAAAGAGAGUUAAACAGUAUGUGAAAUUGUUGAAAGGGAAACGUUUGAAGUCAGUCGCGUUAGCUGGGGAUCAGCCUGACAUUGUUGGGUGCACUUCCUGGUUGACGGGCCAACAUCAGUUUUGACUGCCAGAAAAAGGCCAAGGGAAUGUGGCACCUUUGGGUGUGUUAUAGCCUUUGGUCAUAUAUGGUGGUUGGGACUGAGGAACGCAGUGUGCUGAAAGGCCGGGUUUCGACCACGUUCACACUGAGGAUGUUGGCAUAAUGGCUUUAAGCGACCCGUCUUGAAACACGGACCAAGGAGUCUAACAUGCAUGCGAGUGUUUGGGUGGAAAACCCUUACGCGUAAUGAAAGUGAAAGUUGAGAUCCCUGUCGUGGGGAGCAUCGACGCCCGGACCAGAACUUUUGGGACGGAUCUGCGGUAGAGCACGUAUGUUGGGACCCGAAAGAUGGUGAACUAUGCCUGAAUAGGGUGAAGCCAGAGGAAACUCUGGUGGAGGCUCGUAGCGAUUCUGACGUGCAAAUCGAUCGUCAAAUUUGGG